GAUGAACGCUGGCGGCGUGCCUAAUACAUGCAAGUCGAGCGAACAGAUAAGGAGCUUGCUCCUUUGACGUUAGCGGCGGACGGGUGAGUAACACGUGGGUAACCUACCUAUAAGACUGGAAUAACUCCGGGAAACCGGGGCUAAUGCCGGAUAACAUUUAGAACCGCAUGGUUCUAAAGUGAAAGAUGGUUUUGCUAUCACUUAUAGAUGGACCCGCGCCGUAUUAGCUAGUUGGUAAGGUAACGGCUUACCAAGGCAACGAUACGUAGCCGACCUGAGAGGGUGAUCGCCCCCCCGGGAACGGGGACACGGUCCAGCCUCCUACGGGAGGCAGCAGUGGGGAAUCUUCCGCAAUGGGCGAAAGCCUGACGGAGCAACGCCGCGUGAGGGAUGAAGGUCUUCGGAUCGUAAAACGCUGUUAUUAGGGAAAAAAAAAUGUGUAAGUAACUGUGCCAGUUUUGACGGUACCUAAUAAAAAAGCCCCGGCUAACUCCGG
Molecule: ribosomal RNA, 496 nt
Filed under: uncultured bacterium
Lineage: Bacteria
Description: partial 16S ribosomal RNA
Rfam family: Bacterial small subunit ribosomal RNA
Source: RNAcentral